RNAcentral lists this ribosomal RNA (857 nucleotides) under uncultured bacterium. Its description in RNAcentral is "bacterial SSU rRNA". It matches the Rfam family "Bacterial small subunit ribosomal RNA", at positions 648 to 1504 of the family's 1533-position model. The record is from RNAcentral.
GCAGAAGAGGACAGUGGAACUCCAUGUGUAGCGGUGAAAUGCGUAGAUAUAUGGAAGAACACCAGUGGCGAAGGCGGCUGUCUGGUCUGUAACUGACGCUGAGGCUCGAAAGUAUGGGUAGCAAACAGGAUUAGAUACCCUGGUAGUCCAUACCGUAAACGAUGAAUGCUAAGUGUUGGAGGGUUUCCGCCCUUCAGUGCUGCAGCUAACGCAUUAAGCAUUCCGCCUGGGGAGUACGGCCGCAAGGCUGAAACUCAAAGGAAUUGACGGGGGCCCGCACAGGCGGUGGAGCAUGUGGUUUAAUUCGAAGCUACGCGAAGAACCUUACCAGGUCUUGACAUACUAUGCAAAUCUAAGAGAUUAGACGUUCCCUUCGGGGACAUGGAUACAGGUGGUGCAUGGUUGUCGUCAGCUCGUGUCGUGAGAUGUUGGGUUAAGUCCCGCAACGAGCGCAACCCUUAUUAUCAGUUGCCAGCAUUAAGUUGGGCACUCUGGUGAGACUGCCGGUGACAAACCGGAGGAAGGUGGGGAUGACGUCAAAUCAUCAUGCCCCUUAUGACCUGGGCUACACACGUGCUACAAUGGAUGGUACAACGAGUUGCGAACUCGCGAGAGUAAGCUAAUCUCUUAAAGCCAUUCUCAGUUCGGAUUGUAGGCUGCAACUCGCCUACAUGAAGUCGGAAUCGCUAGUAAUCGCGGAUCAGCAUGCCGCGGUGAAUACGUUCCCGGGCCUUGUACACACCGCCCGUCACACCAUGAGAGUUUGUAACACCCAAAGUCGGUGGGGUAACCUUUUAGGAACCAGCCGCCUAAGGUGGGACAGAUGAUUAGGGUGAAGUCGUAACAAGGUAGCCGUA